UGGCGACCGGCGCACGGGUGAGUAACACGUAUCCAACCUGCCGAUAACUCCGGAAUAGCCUUUCGAAAGAAAGAUUAAUACCGGAUGGCAUACGAAUAUCGCAUGAUAUUUUUAUUAAAGAAUUUCGGUUAUCGAUGGGGAUGCGUUCCAUUAGUUUGUUGGCGGGGUAACGGCCCACCAAGGCGACGAUCCCUAGCUGGUCUGAGAGGAUGACCAGCCACACUGGAACUGAGACACGGUCCAGACUCCUACGGGAGGCAGCAUG
RNAcentral lists this ribosomal RNA (265 nucleotides) under uncultured bacterium. RNAcentral describes it as "partial 16S ribosomal RNA". It matches the Rfam family "Bacterial small subunit ribosomal RNA", at positions 89 to 353 of the family's 1533-position model. The record is from RNAcentral.